RNAcentral lists this ribosomal RNA (416 nucleotides) under uncultured bacterium. RNAcentral describes it as "bacterial SSU rRNA". It matches the Rfam family "Bacterial small subunit ribosomal RNA", at positions 355 to 787 of the family's 1533-position model. The record is from RNAcentral.
UGGGGAAUAUUGGGCAAUGGGCGGAAGCCUGACCCAGCAACGCCGCGUGAAGGAAGAAGGCUUUCGGGUUGUAAACUUCUUUUCUCAGGGACGAAUAGAUGACGGUACCUGAGGAAUAAGCCACGGCUAACUACGUGCCAGCAGCCGCGGUAAUACGUAGGUGGCAAGCGUUAUCCGGAUUUACUGGGUGUAAAGGGCGUGUAGGCGGGACUGCAAGUCAGAUGUGAAAACCACGGGCUCAACCUGUGGCCUGCUUUGAAACUGUAGUUCUUGAGUACUGGAGAGGCAGACGGAAUUCCUAGUGUAGCGGUGAAAUGCGUAGAUAUUAGGAGGAACACCAGUGGCGAAGGCGGUCUGCUGGACAGCAACUGACGCUGAGGCGCGAAAGCGUGGGGAGCAAACAGGAUUAGAUACCC